Molecule: ribosomal RNA, 429 nt
Filed under: Pseudomonadota bacterium
Lineage: Bacteria; Pseudomonadati; Pseudomonadota
Description: Proteobacteria bacterium partial 16S ribosomal RNA
Rfam family: Bacterial small subunit ribosomal RNA
Source: RNAcentral
UGGGUAAUAUUGGACAAUGGGCUAAAGCCUGAUCCAGCCAUGCCGCGUGUGUGAAGAAGGUCUUCGGAUUGUAAAGCACUUUAAGUUGGGAGGAAGGGCAGUAAGCGAAUACCUUGCUGUUUUGACGUUACCGACAGAAUAAGCACCGGCUAACUCUGUGCCAGCAGCCGCGGUAAUACAGAGGGUGCAAGCGUUAAUCGGAAUUACUGGGCGUAAAGCGCGCGUAGGUGGUUCGUUAAGUUGAAUGUGAAAGCCCCGGGCUCAACCUGGGAACUGCAUCCAAAACUGGCGAGCUAGAGUAGGGCAGAGGGUGGUGGAAUUUCCUGUGUAGCGGUGAAAUGCGUAGAUAUAGGAAGGAACACCAGUGGCGAAGGCGACCACCUGGGCUCAUACUGACACUGAGGUGCGAAAGCGUGGGGAGCAAACAGG